CUCUCUCUCUCUCUCUCUCUCUCUGAAUGAGCUAACACUACAAUCUACAAUGGCUGCUUUCUCUCUCUUCUCUAACCAUCAUCUUCUUCCUCCAUUCCCAAUUUCCUCUUCUAAAUCUAAACCCCAUGCAUAUCCUAAUCGCUUCCUCUUAUUACCCAACCGCUCCUCGUCUCUAUUUCGCAUCCUCUGCUCUUCUCCGAUCAACUCCUCCGAUUCUGUUCCCUCUGGUGAUAGCCUCUACAGCAAUUUUUGCA
This 254-nucleotide unclassified non-coding RNA is filed under the name Hevea brasiliensis (rubber tree). Lineage: Eukaryota; Viridiplantae; Streptophyta; Magnoliopsida; Malpighiales; Euphorbiaceae. The record is from RNAcentral.